GACGAACGCUGGCGGCGUGCCUAAUACAUGCAAGUUGAGCGCUGAAGGCUGGUACUUGUACCAACUGGAUGAGCAGCGCACGGGUGAGUAACGCGUGGGGAAUCUGCCUUUGAGCGGGGGACAACAUUUGGAAACGAAUGCUAAUACCGCAUAAAAACUUUAAACACAAGUUUUAAGUUUGAAAGAUGCAAUUGCAUCACUCAAAGAUGAUCCCGCGUUGUAUUAGCUAGUUGGUGAGGUAAAGGCUCACCAAGGCGAUGAUACAUAGCCGACCUGGGAGGGUGAUCGGCCACAUUGGAACUGGGACACGGCCCAAACUCCUACGGGAGGCAGCAGUAGGGAAUCUUCGGCAAUGGACGAAAGUCUGACCGAGCAACGCCGCGUGAGUGAAGAAGGUUUUCGGAUCGUAAAACUCUGUUGGUAGAGAAGAACGUUGGUGAGAGUGGAAAGCGCAUCAAGGGACGGUAACUACCCAGAAAGGGACGGCGAACUACGU
RNAcentral lists this ribosomal RNA (496 nucleotides) under uncultured bacterium. RNAcentral's name for it is "partial 16S ribosomal RNA". It matches the Rfam family "Bacterial small subunit ribosomal RNA", at positions 28 to 506 of the family's 1533-position model. The record is from RNAcentral.